This 475-nucleotide ribosomal RNA is filed under the name uncultured bacterium. RNAcentral describes it as "bacterial SSU rRNA". It matches the Rfam family "Bacterial small subunit ribosomal RNA", at positions 64 to 524 of the family's 1533-position model. The record is from RNAcentral.
GAGCCCCUGGGUGGUAUCUGGCUCCCUGAANUNAGCGGCGGACGGCUGAGUAGCAUGUGGGCAACCUGCCUGUAAGACUGGGAUAACUUCGGGAAACCGGAGCUAAUACCGGAUAACUUCUUUUCUCGCAUGAGGAGAGGUUGAAAGACGGUUCUGCUGUCACUUACAGAUGGGCCCGCGGCGCAUUAGUUUGUUGGUGAGGUAACGGCUCACCAAGGCGACGAUGCGUAGCCGACCUGAGAGGGUGAUCGGCCACACUGGGACUGAGACACGGCCCAGACUCCUACGGGAGGCAGCAGUAGGGAAUCUUCCGCAAUGGACGAAAGUCUGACGGAGCAACGCCGCGUGAGUGAAGAAGGUCUUCGGAUCGUAAAACUCUGUUAUCAGGGAAGAAUAAGUACCGUGUAACUAACGGUACCUCGACGGUACCUGACCAGAAAGCCACGGCUAACUACGUGCCAGCAGCCGCGGUAAU